Molecule: ribosomal RNA, 460 nt
Filed under: uncultured bacterium
Lineage: Bacteria
Description: partial 16S ribosomal RNA
Rfam family: Bacterial small subunit ribosomal RNA
Source: RNAcentral
CCUACGGGAGGCAGCAGUGAGGAAUAUUGGUCAAUGGACGGAAGUCUGAACCAGCCAUGCCGCGUGCAGGAUGACGGCUCUAUGAGUUGUAAACUGCGUUUGUACGGGAAUAAUAGUGCUUACGUGAAUGGAUUUGAAUGUAUCGUACGAAUAAGGAUCGGCGAAGUCCGUGCCAGCAGCCGCGGUAAUACGGAGGGUGCGAGCGUUUUCCGGAUUUAUUGGGUUUAAAGGGUGUGCAGGCGGUCGGAUAAGUUAGAUGUGAAAUGCAGAGGCUCAACUUCGGAAUUGCAUCUGAUACUGUUCGGCUAGAGAGUAGAUGCGGUAGGCGGAAUGUAUGGUGUAGCGGUGAAAUGCUUAGAGAUCAUACAGAACACCGAUUGCGAAGGCAGCUUACCAAGCUACUUCUGACGUUGAGGCACGAAAGCGUGGGGAGCAAACAGGAUUAGAUACCCCAGUAGUC